GAGUGGGGAGGAGAGAGGGACAGAGAGCCUGCUUCUUUAAAGGAGCAAAGUGGGAGAGUAGAGGAGCCGCUUACACGAGUGUAAGCGGCUCCUGUCCGGUUGGUUCCUUUACAGCAAGCAGGCUCUCUGUCCCUCUCUCCUCCCCACUC
Molecule: microRNA precursor, 149 nt
Filed under: Podarcis lilfordi (Lilford's wall lizard)
Lineage: Eukaryota; Metazoa; Chordata; Lepidosauria; Squamata; Lacertidae
Source: RNAcentral